GAUGAACGCUGGCGGCGUGCCUAAUACAUGCAAGUCGAGCGAACAGACGAGGAGCUUGCUCCUUUGACGUUAGCGGCGGACGGGUGAGUAACACGUGGGUAACCUACCUAUAAGACUGGGAUAACUUCGGGAAACCGGAGCUAAUACCGGAUAAUAUUUCGAACCGCAUGGUUCGAUAGUGAAAGAUGGCUUUGCUAUCACUUAUAGAUGGACCUGCGCCGUAUUAGCUAGUUGGUAAGGUAACGGCUUACCAAGGCAACGAUACGUAGCCGACCUGAGAGGGUGAUCGGCCACACUGGAACUGAGACACGGUCAGACUCCUACGGGAGGCAGCAGUAGGGAAUCUUCCGCAAUGGGCGAAAGCCUGACGGAGCAACGCCGCGUGAGUGAUGAAGGUCUUCGGAUCGUAAAACUCUGUUAUUAGGGAAGAACAAACGUGUAAGUAACUGUGCACGUCUUGACGGUACCUAAUCAGAAAGCCACGGCUAACUACGUG
Molecule: ribosomal RNA, 496 nt
Filed under: uncultured bacterium
Lineage: Bacteria
Description: partial 16S ribosomal RNA
Rfam family: Bacterial small subunit ribosomal RNA
Source: RNAcentral